AUCCUGGCUCAGAUUGAACGCUGGCGGCAUGCCUUACACAUGCAAGUCGAACGGCAGCACGGGGCAACCUGGUGGCGAGUGGCGAACGGGUGAGUAAUGCAUCGGAACGUGCCAUUGAGUGGGGGAUAACGUAGCGAAAGUUGCGCUAAUACCGCAUAUUCUGUGAGCAGGAAAGCAGGGGACCGCAAGGCCCUGCGCUCUUUGAGCGGCCGAUGUCAGAUUAGCUAGUUGGUGAGGUAACGGCUUACCAAGGCGACGAUCUGUAGCGGGUCUGAGAGGAUGAUCCGCCACACUGGAACUGAGACACGGUCCAGACUCCUACGGGAGGCAGCAGUGGGGAAUUUUGGACAAUGGGCGCAAGCCUGAUCCAGCCAUGCCGCGUGAGUGAAGAAGGCCUUCGGGUUGUAAAGCUCUUUCGGCCGGGAAGAAAUCGCAUGGGUUAAUACCCUGUGUGGAUGACGGUACCGGAAUAAGAAGCACCGGCUAACUACGUG
This 494-nucleotide ribosomal RNA is filed under the name uncultured bacterium. RNAcentral describes it as "bacterial SSU rRNA". It matches the Rfam family "Bacterial small subunit ribosomal RNA", at positions 16 to 507 of the family's 1533-position model. The record is from RNAcentral.